This 371-nucleotide ribosomal RNA is filed under the name uncultured organism. Its description in RNAcentral is "bacterial SSU rRNA". It matches the Rfam family "Bacterial small subunit ribosomal RNA", at positions 526 to 896 of the family's 1533-position model. The record is from RNAcentral.
CGUAGGGUGCGAGCGUUAAUCGGAAUUACUGGGCGUAAAGCGUGCGCAGGCGGUUCGCCAAGUCAGGUGUGAAAUCCCCGGGCUUAACCUGGGAAUUGCGCUUGAAACUAGCGGGCUUGAGUGCGGCAGAGGGGGGUGGAAUUCCACGUGUAGCAGUGAAAUGCGUAGAGAUGUGGAGGAACACCGAUGGCGAAGGCAGCCCCCUGGGUCGACACUGACGCUCAUGCACGAAAGCGUGGGUAGCAAACAGGAUUAGAUACCCUGGUAGUCCACGCCCUAAACGAUGUCAACUAGGUGUUGGGUGGGUAAAACCAUUUAGUACCGGAGCUAACGCGUGAGUUGACCGCCUGGGGAGUACGGCCGCAAGGUUA